CUGAAAGCAUCUAAGCGCGAAGCUGGCUCCAAGAUUAGAUUUCCAUUGAGGGUCGUCGUAGACUACGACGUUGAUAGGCUGCAGGUGUACAAUGGUGACAUAAAGCCGAGCAGUACUAAUUGCCCGAAAUCUUUUUCUAA
RNAcentral lists this ribosomal RNA (140 nucleotides) under Paludibacteraceae bacterium. RNAcentral describes it as "partial 23S ribosomal RNA". It matches the Rfam family "Bacterial large subunit ribosomal RNA", at positions 2771 to 2925 of the family's 2925-position model. The record is from RNAcentral. Lineage: Bacteria; Pseudomonadati; Bacteroidota; Bacteroidia; Bacteroidales; Paludibacteraceae.